UCCCUGGUGGCUAAGACGGUAAAAGCGUCUGCCUACAAUGCAGAAGACCUAGGUUUGAUCCCUGGGUUGGGAA
Molecule: transfer RNA, 73 nt
Filed under: Bos taurus (domestic cattle)
Lineage: Eukaryota; Metazoa; Chordata; Mammalia; Artiodactyla; Bovidae
Also listed under: 2 other names
Rfam family: tRNA
About the family: Transfer RNA (tRNA) molecules are approximately 80 nucleotides in length.
Source: Rfam by way of RNAcentral